This is a long non-coding RNA of Pseudoliparis swirei, 659 nucleotides long. RefSeq lists it as uncharacterized. Lineage: Eukaryota; Metazoa; Chordata; Actinopteri; Perciformes; Liparidae. The transcript is spliced from 4 exons. The record is from RefSeq and is a predicted model, not a curated record.
UGAGGGCGGAGCCGCGUGAGGCAGGGGCGUGUCUAGGGGGUGGCCAGGGGUGGCACGUGCUACCCCUGGAAUCUGAUUGGCCACCCCAGGUGCCACCCCAUAUGCUAAACUAUGAUUGGCUAUCUGCCCACGGAGGCGGGAACGUUUGAAUUGUGUGACUACCGAACUUUCAUUUUCAACCGACAAGAAGACAUCAAGAAGACAUCAAGAGAUUGCGGCUACUCGCUCCUGAAAGAUGUGAGUAGCUAGAAUUAUUGAUAACAGUUACACAUAAUGAGUCAGUGGUUUAAAAAGUUUGAACUGUAAUAAGCUAAAACGUAUUUUGAUUUUCACGAUAUGUGGUGCAGGUCUGUCAUCAUCGCGACUGUCGACAGUGUCGACUGACUCAGCUUGCUGCCUAGCAAACCUGUCCAGGGAUUCUUAGCUCCUGAAAGAUACUCAGACAAGGAUACUGGUGAUGAAGGCCCUUCAUCUUCACUUGCACAUCAGGGUGUGUCAAGUCAGCCACUCUCUGACAAUGACACUGACACUGAGAACCAUCCAGCAGUACCUGCAGGCCAUGCAGUGACACGUGGGGAUGGUGAUGCAGCAGCCCUUGUGGCCCCACCUGGACCUCAUGAUAUUUCACAGUCAAGAGCAGCAGGUCCCUCUCAGCCUCG